CCGUAAGCCUGGCGCUCCAGUUUUCAUUCAGCCCGUCUUGUGUGGUGGGUAGGGAACCUAUGUUUGUGGCCAGUAACAGCUUCAGGCUGGCACAUAAGACAUCAGGUUCCCGGACCUUGAGGAGUGGGUCUUGAGAUUGUUGCUUUUGCUGCCCCGUAUCCAAACCCCCUUCCUAUUGGGGGACAACCCCAAAUUAGGUGCAGCAGAGGGGUCAACCACAUGCUGCGAAGACUUCUGGGCAGCCAGGACACGAGCAUGUGCCAGGACUUACCUGAGCAGAGCCACAGACACAAAGACACAGGGAGAGGUAGGCUUUCUCAGGUGGCCUCCGCAGUCGAGGUAGGCCUGAACCAACACGUCGUCUGGCAGCCCAUGGCCGCAUUCUGGCCACAGGGGGCUGGGACCGCGGUCUGGUUGUGCUCUUGCUAGGUAGCCUCCUUGUGUUCCUGCUGCCUCUCAGAGCCUGCUUCUCAUUAAGGCUCUCCUCGGGUCUCCACCACUCCCUGCUGUUUGCCAUUAACAAGUCUGACUCCCUGAUCUCCAUCAAGGGCAGGUGUGUACUGAGCUCUGGAAAGCCAGAGAUAGGAGCCUAAGUAAGUACAGAGCUGGCUGGGAGGGCGCCGUUGGGUAAGGCAGCACGGGAGGACACCUGGAGUGGCCUUGUCAGGUCUCCCGAUGGCUUAGAAGGGUCUCCAUGGGGAGCCAUGCUACCUGAUAGACAGUCCACACUCCAUAAGUCUGCCUCUUUUCUCUGAUCCCUUCUCCCCUCUGUCUACAAACCCUUCCUGAUGCCCGGGUCAUGCAAUUAAAUACUAUUUUUAAAACCAAGUUUUAUCUACGCUCCCUGUGGGUUAUCUCAGCUCCUACAGAGGCUCAGGAAACUGUGACGGCACGAUCGUCACACUGACUUGACAGGAGGCAGCCUGGGAAGUCAUGAUGGAAGAGGCUGCUCUCUUCCUGGCCUGGCCCCUCUUGGGGGUUCAGUGCUCGUCUCUGAAGUCACUGAGGUUUUUGUUGCAGUUUCCCUACGGUAUAGAGCGUGCCCUACAUCGCAGGGCUGGGCUAAGACGGAUUUCUGGCUUUCUUUUCUCAAAAAAUCAUGCUCAUUCAGGCACUGGCGAAUAUAGGUUCUGGUACUGAAGAUGAGCUGUCUGUUAAACUCUGAAUAGGGCUAUUCUCUCUGCAAUUAGAGACUUUUGGCUCAAACAAGAUCUUUUCUGGGAAGCCAUAAGCCUGUAUUCUGAUAUUUCAACAUUUCACCCCUCAUCCUCCCCACCAGCCCUCACUAGGGUUCAUAUCGUCCUAGAAAUGGAACACCACCACAAAGCAGUCACCCACAUGGAUUCUCCCACUUUGCAGGCUUAAGAUAAUGAAGUCAAACACACAUACACAGGCUCCAAAUACCUUUGGUAGAGCUUUACACCCAUAUGUGUGAAGGGCCAUUUCCAAACGGAAUAAUAACUGGAAGGCACGACUAAACCACUGGAAUAAAAUCCCCCUUUGGAUUAGGUAUCAGCAAAGUAAAUUAGUAACAUCUGAGCGCCUGUUAAGACUAGAGAUUCGCCGUUUGCUGGGACUGGCGUUUAUUUCAUUAUUGAAAAGGAAGGGAAAAAACAGAAGGAAUCAAGUCAGCUGUACUGAGUGUCGAUGACACACGUGCCUCCCAUUUUUGAAGCUCUUCUCCCUGGCGCCUCAGUGUACUGUCUGAGCUGCCCCUGGGCUACAACCGUGAUUAAGAGGAGAGGUCUCUCUUUUGAAGGGGUUGGUGGUCUCUUGAGCUGAGGAAGUGGAACACGGGCUCCCUAGCCUCCUUCGUGACUUUGAUCACCAAGUCCCCCGUUACGUUGGAAGAUUAAAGGCAUGUGGACGCCUGGGGGAGGGCAGCCUGGAGGUGACAUUCAAAAGCUCGAUUAGUCUUCUGCGGAUCAGGUAACGCUAAUAAAUGGUGAUAGCAGCCAACUUUCCACGUGUGCACUAUGCAAACCCAUCUGCAGACAGUAGCUCGUUUGAUCAUCAAAAGAUCCCUCUAAAACGAGCACAUUUCACCCGAGGAAACGGCAGUUAGGAAGAUUAUGCGUGUUCUGUUCCACGGACAGCAAAGGGGCAGAGCCUGGUCAAGAAGUCUGGGUUUGCUCUCAGCCCUCACACAACCCUGUCUCCCCGGGAAGCAUGUGGGCCAACAUCCUUCUUACUUUGUGUCUGAGGGUUAAAUUUUCCUGAACCAAGACUAUACAAGUGGCUUUGUAUAAGGAGAUUUGACUGACCUGCAAAUUCUCAGCCAAGGAAGCACUUAGGCAGGUGGUGAGUGAGCGAAGAUGAUA
Molecule: long non-coding RNA, 2321 nt
Filed under: Equus caballus (horse)
Lineage: Eukaryota; Metazoa; Chordata; Mammalia; Perissodactyla; Equidae
Description: lncRNA (ENSECAG00000045546.1)
Source: RNAcentral